Quercus lobata is the source of this 1022-nucleotide long non-coding RNA. RefSeq lists it as uncharacterized. The transcript has 2 exons. NCBI's taxonomy places the organism in Eukaryota, Viridiplantae, Streptophyta, Magnoliopsida, Fagales, Fagaceae. The record is from RefSeq and is a predicted model, not a curated record.
UCCUUUUGUUUCUCUUUUCCUGAUUCCGGAGGCCAUAUUCUUCUCAUCUUCUUUCCAUGCUUUUAGAUGUGUGAGAUCUCUCAUCUAAUGGGACCCUUUAAAGAAUAAUAAUUGAUCAUGAAGCACCUUUGUUUAAAUGACUUUUGAUUCACCGGACCUUCUCCUACUGAUCUAAAAAAUACCAGGGGGUCAUUUGGCAUCAUCCUAGAAUCUCCUUUACUUGUUAUGGAAUAUAUUAAAGUAAGAAAGUAGCUCCAAGUACAGCAGCUGGUUAAAGAGAAAGCAGACCAACUGAAUGUUUGGCACUGAGAUGGCAACACUUUGAAGAUCAAUCAUUGGAUUUUGAUUCCAGUGAUCAAACUCUUGACCGCAACCCAAGAAAAUGUGAAGAUUGAUCUGAUACAAUUGACUUUUACGAUUUGUUGUUGGCCAUUGUGGUUUCCCUUUUUCUUUUUCUCUUUUCUUUUCUAGAUGAAAAUUUCUUUUCUUCAGUUCAGCCUUGGAUAUGGAUUACAGAAUUAAAGCUAACACUACCCUUUGGAAUAUGUUUCUUUUUGGGACUUUUAUGCAGAGGAGUGCUAUUGAUUGCUUUCAUAUUGCAAGAAAAAGUCUGCAACCAUAAAUUAUGUGGAACUUUUUGUCAUUUCAAUAUGAGUUUGUGUUUGUCCCAAUUAGAGAGAAAAGAUUCAAUGGAGAUUGUGUUGCUUUCUGUGAUUGUAUCUCAAACCCAAUGGGGUGCUGCGUAAGAUAUAGGAGCUUGUUACUUUUUUAGGUUUAUAUUGCAACCAUGUGGGUAUGCUAGUUCAACUUUAGGGUGUUAGUUAUAUAAUACUAGAAUUGGUCACAGAAUGAGAGGUAUCUCCAGGUAUCUUUAUAAUUGAAUUAUGCAGAAGUUUGCAAUGAAACAUGCAAGUUCAGUCUUGAAAGAAUAAGAACUUAUAGGGUGUUCUCUUUUUUUUUUCUUUGUCCUCUUUUGUAUAUGCCAUUUGAUGGCUGGAUGCAAUUGAAAUCAUUUUAGAGUC